UGGGGAAUAUUGCACAAUGGAGGGAACUCUGAUGCAGCAACGCCGCGUGCGGGAUGACGGCCUUCGGGUUGUAAACCGCUUUCAGCCAUGACGAAGCUUUUGUGACGGUAGUGGUAGAAGAAGCACCGGCUAACUACGGGCCAGCAGCCGCGGUGAUACGUAGGGUGCGAGCGUUGUCCGGAAUUAUUGGGCGUCAAGAGCUUGUAGGCGGUUUGUCGCGUCGAUAGUGUAAACACGCAGCUUAACUGUGUGCCUGCUGUCGAUACGGGCUGACUAGAGGAGGGUAGAGGAGUAUGGACUUCCCAGUGGAGCGGUGGAAUGCGCAGAUAUCGAGCGGAACACCAGUGGCGAAGACGGUUCUCUUGACCUUUCCUGACGCUGAAAAGCGAAAGCGUGGGUAGCAAACAGG
This 409-nucleotide ribosomal RNA is filed under the name Fusobacteriota bacterium. RNAcentral describes it as "Fusobacteria bacterium partial 16S ribosomal RNA". It matches the Rfam family "Bacterial small subunit ribosomal RNA", at positions 355 to 776 of the family's 1533-position model. The record is from RNAcentral. Lineage: Bacteria; Fusobacteriati; Fusobacteriota.